RNAcentral lists this long non-coding RNA (5848 nucleotides) under Nicotiana tabacum (common tobacco). Its description in RNAcentral is "long non-coding RNA (NTAB_LNC002812)". Lineage: Eukaryota; Viridiplantae; Streptophyta; Magnoliopsida; Solanales; Solanaceae. The record is from RNAcentral.
CCAUCUACUAAAACGCCCCUCUAUUCCCAUACACAUCAGAAACAGAGACCAUCACCCAAGAAAAAACCCCAAGAGACCUAAUGAGAAGACCCCUUCCCCUUAACCUAAAAUCAGCGCCGUUUCCCCUCUUCUUCUUCCUCACUUUCUCAGCUUCAACACACUAGAGACCCUAAAUCCCCUCUCCAUGAAAACCUAGCAGCUUUUCCCCUUUUCCUCCAAGUCAAACCCCUACAAAACACAUACACAAGCACAUGAAAUAGCUGGGUGAAGAGAAUUCCAGUUUGAAAAAUUCAGAUUCAGAUUUGAGAUACAAAAUUCAAAAACAAAGGGGAAUUAGAUGGCUGAUGCGAAAUCUCUUCUUCAACUUUUAUUUUCUUGGCUUUUUCCAAGUGUUUUCGUUGUUCGAUUAAGUUGGUUGCCGUUGUUCAGUACCAGAUUUUGCUUUGCUGAGCUGCUGCUGAUUUCUGACUCAUUAAUUUAGCCUCUAUUUGAUUUUAUCUUCCUCAAACUUAAUUCUAGAGAAAUUAGGUAUGUCUCUUCUCAUAUCUGUAUUUUCAGUUUUAGUUUAAUAUGAAAUCACAAUUAUUUUAGCUCUAUACCACUUGCUUGUUUGGAUUCGCAACGCUGAAUUAGUUCUGGCAUGGAUGAAAUGUCGUUUAUGAUUUGUUAUAGUUAGAUUGUUCUUAUGAAUGUAUUUUAAAUCGCAAGAUCUGGAUUUCGUUUUUGCCUAGCUUAUAUAUACAUAAGAAAGUGUAUCACUAGUUUCUUAUUCUAUUUUUAAAUUUCAUGGAUUAGGAGCAUGAUUUAGAUACCAAUUUUUUUCGUGUGUUGUAAAAAUGGUAAAUCUGCUAUGGUCUCCUUAUGUAUUGUUUUUUUCAUUUAAUUUGGAAUAUUCUAUAGUUGCUUCUUUCUGCGCUCCACACGCCUGUGUAUAAUUGUUGGUCAAAUGUCAUUAUCCCCUCGAUCGAAGGUGGCUGUUUUAUCAAAUGCCUAUUUUUUUUACUGUUCUUCUUCCAAAAAUCAGUAGUCUCUACUUUAACUCAAGGUUGGCUUUAAUAGAAAAGGCAUCAGAUUGUUAACAUAAAAAUGAUUUCACUUUUGAGGAUCUCUACAAAAAAUGGCAUAUAGUUACUUGUUAAUUAACAAGGAUCCUAUCAGAAACAAGGAAAGAGAUCAGUUCUUUGUUAAAUCUUAGAACAGGACUAAGGCUAUCAAUGAUGAAUAAUCCUUAAAGUCAUGAAUAUUUAGUUAUCGAUCUCGUUGGCAGCUUAUAAAGUUACCAUUUGUUUCUUCCAUGAAUGACUUCUAUGACUAUUAGGCCAUCUUUGAUCUCAAAUCUUAGGAAAAUAAUUAAUUCAAGAACAUCGUAGCUUGCUUUAGGCACGAUUAAAUAAAUCAUUGUGACUAUGGGUACAGUUCCCGUUGCAUGGUCACGAUACAUAAUCCUCAAUUCAGGUGCACAUUUUAUGUGACCCGACCAUAACUUCAAACAAUAAUAAAAUGAACAUGUUGCAAAUCGUGGGUGCAUUUCAUGUAGCGUGGUUUGCAAUGUGUUCCAAAACAAACAAGUGUAAGGCAAUCGUAACUUAUUUUAGAAAUAAUUCCAUAAAUAAAUAAAAAGCGGUUAAAAAUGCACAAUAUGUUUAAAAUAUGUAAUAAAUCAAAUAAUUAGGCCAAUUAUUAAUAGUUGAGAAACCGUGCUAAAACCACGGAACCUGGAAAUGCCUAACACCUUCUCCCAGUUUGGUAGAAUUCCUUGCUUGGUCUUCUGUGUUCGCAGACCAAAAAUACAGUCAAUUUACUUGAUUUGGGAUUUAAAAUUAAAUCGGUGACUUGGGACACCAUAACUUAUUCUAAGUGACGACUCUAAAAAUAAAUAAAUAAUUCCAUUUCGAUUAGUGUCACUUUAAUUGGAAAAACUCCCUAUCCCCUUCGGAAAAAUGAGGUGUGACAAUUUCCUCAUUCUCUUUCGUAGAUAAAAACCCUUUUAACGAAAUGGCAAAGACUUCCAAUACCGUUCCCUAGAAAGAAGCUCCUUCUUCUUCGCGGCCGACCACUGAGGUCGAGGAGGUCGCCUCUGAUGUGGUUGUCCUCGAGAGGUCUAUUGCUGAAAUGGCUACCGAUGAACCGCCCGCCGAACCCCCUUGAAGAUGUUCAUUCCGGAGGUUGUUCGGUCAAUGACGAGUUCAAGGUUGAGAAGCCUUCUUCGAGAGAUUUGUUGUUGUAUGAUCCUUUGCCGAUGAUCUCGAUAAUUUGAUAUGGACUUUCCCAGUUCGGCUCCCGCUUCCCUUUGUUCGGGUUCUGGGUGCUUAGUGUCACUUUUCUUAACACCAAGUCCCCUAUAUUGAAGUGUCGGAGGUUGGCUCUCCGAUUGUAAUACCUCACAAUUCGUUGUUUUUGGUCGGCCGACCGAACAAGGGCGGCCUCGCGCCUCUCGUCUAACAGUUCCAGGUUCGUACUCAUGGCCUCAUCAUUUGACUCUUCGAUUGCAUAUCAGAACCUGAGACUCGGUUCUCCUACUUCGAUCGAUAUUAGAGCUUCAGCACCGUAGACCAACGAGAACGGGGUUGCCCUGGUAUUGGAUUUUUAGGUCGUACGAUAUGCCUAUAGGACUUCGGAAAAAAUUUCCUUCCAUUUUCUUUGGUGUCGGUCAACCUCUUUUUGAGGUUUUGGAGUAUGGUUUUGUUUGUGGACUCCGCUUGCCCGUUCCCACUAGGGUGAUAGGGUGUUAAUAGGAUCCUUUUGAUCUUAUGGUCCUAAAAAAACUUUCUUACUUUGCUGCUGAUGAACUACUUCCCACUAUCGCACAUGAUCUCGGCCGGCAUUCCGAACCAGCAUAUUUUGUGGUCCCAAAUGAAAUGAAUAACUUCCUUCUCCCUUACUUUCUCAAAUGCCUGGUCUUCGACACAUUUAGAAAAAUAGUCAGUCAUAAAUAAUAUAAAUUGAGCCUUACUGGAUGCCCAUGACAAAGUGACAACGAUGUCCAUUCCCCAUUUCAUGAAUGGCCAGGGUGACAAGACCGAAUGCAACAACUCCCCGGGCUAAUGAAUCAUUAGAGAAUUCCUCUGACAUCCAUCGCAUUUUCGCACGAACUCCUUCGCGUCUUUUUCCAUGUCGAUCCAGUAGUAACCGGCUCUAAUUACCUUCCAAACCAACGAUUCAGCGCUCGAAUGAUUUCCGCAGGUGCCUUCGUGGACUUCCCUCAAAACAUACUUGGUAUCUCUCGUUCCUAGGCAUAUGGCGAGUGGGCCAUCGAAUGUUCUCCUGAAUAGGGUACCGUCUUCGAACAAGCUGAACCGGGCUGCCUUUGUAUGCAGGGCUCUCGAUUCUUUUGGAUCCGAGGGCAGUUUUCCUGUCUUCAAAUAAUCUAUAUAUUUGUUUCUCCAGUCCCAGGUUAAUCUUAUCGAGUUUACCUCGGCGUGGCCUUAGUCCACUACCGAUUUCAUGAGUUGUACGACCGUUAUCGAGUUAAACUCAUUGUCGUUGACCAACGAUCCUACAUUAGCAAGUGCAUUGGCCUUCCUGUUUUGAUCCCGAGGUACAUGUUGCAAAGUCUAUUCCUUGAAUCGAUGUAACGUCACCUGUAGCUUAUACAGGUACCUUCACAUCUAUUCUUCUUUGACUUCGAACGUUCUAUUUAACUAGUUCACCACAAGGAGGGAAUCACACUUAGCUUCGAUCACCUCAGCCCCCACGAUUUUAGCCAGUUCAAGACUUGCAAUCAUGGCCUCAUACUCGGCCUCGUUGUCAGUCAAUUUCACAGUUCUAGUUGAUUGUCUAACUACAUUGCCCUUCGAUGGCUUCAAUCCAAUGCCAAGCCCGGGCCCUUUUGCGUUCGAGACACCAUCUGUAAAGAGGGUUCGAAUUCCAGAGGAGGUCCCCAAGUUCAACAACAACUCCUUCUCGACCUCAGGAAUUAGGGUCGGGGUGAAGUCAGCCACAAAGUCCGCUAAAAUUUGAGAUUUGAUGGUGGUUCAGGGUCGAUAUUCGAUAUCUUACUCGCUGAUUUCCACGUCCCAUCUGGCCUAUCAUCCCGAGAGUUCGAGCUUAUGCAUUAUGUUCCUCAACGGGUAAGUGGUCACGACACAUAUAGGAUGGCAUUGAAAAUAAGGUUUUAAUUUCCUAGAGGCGCUUAGCAAAGUGAGCGCCAAUUUUUCCAAGUGAGGAUACCUAGUUUCGGCCUCGCCUAGGGUCCUACUCUAACAUAUUAGAUAGGAAAGUGUGUACCUUCCUCUUCCCGUACUAGGACUCCACUUACCGCUAUCUCGGAUACCGCCAGGUAGAGGUACAACUGUUAAUCUGCAUUCAGAGUAUGAAGCAAAGGUGGGAUCAAAAGGUACCACUUGAGUUCUUCCAAGGCUUGUUGACACUCCGGGGUCCAUGAGAAAUUCUUCUUCUUCAAGAACGAGAAGUACCAAUGGUUCUUGUCGGGGGACCUUGAAAUGAAUCGGCCUAGCGCGGCUAUGCGCUCGGUUAACCUUUGUACAAGUUUGACAUUGUCCACAACGGUAAUGUCAUCUAUGGCCUUGAUUUUAUCGGGGUUGAUCUCGAUUCCUCGUAUAGACAUCAUGAACCCGAGAAAUUUCACAGACACGACAGUGGGCGCCAAACUGUUUACCCUCAAGAGUGAAAAACAAUUAAAUUUGUAAGUGAUUUUAAGGAUACACGGAUUAAUUUAAUACAAGGAUAAAUUACAUUAGACUAAACAAAUAAGAUAUGGUAAAUUCAAACCAUGUAAGGAGGGUGUUUCUAGCCUUAAUGAAACAUUCGCCUCUAUCCUGGCUCACAAUGGCUAGUAUUGAUGAGCAAGAAAAAAAAUUUCGAUAACAGUGAAAACAGUAGUGUAUUGCUUUGGAAUACGUGUUACAAUGUCCUUCAGGUAUUAUCAGACCCUCCUUUAUAUAGUAGGGGAAUCUCACUCUAGGUACAAUUCGAUAAGAGGUAAAAAAUCUUCUGUUUAACUGAUUAUCAGCUCAUCAUCGAUAUGUGCCGAGAUCCACGUUGUGAUAUCCGCCCGGUCGAGGAUAUUACAACCUUUUUUUGGUCGUGCUUGAUUGCCUGAGAGUGUUCUUCGAAGUCUUUCGGGGUUUGGACCGAUCCUAAGUGGGGGGGGGGGGGGCCGUCAUGCCCCCGGACUCGGACUUGAUGAGGCCCUUGCCUUGGUUCCAGUCCCUCGUCGUCAUGUCUCGAGCUUGGUUUAUCCUAUCAGAGAUCGGGAUGUACCAUGGAUUUGGUUUUACCCGUAUACCAUCUUUAAUUUUGAAUGUUAUUAAUAGGUUUUGUAAUACUAUUAGUAAUAACGAAAAUAGUUAACCCAUUAUCAAAUAUUAAAGCUACACGUAGAAAUCAUUAAAGUAAGGAAUCGUUUCAUUUAUUGUAUAAACAAAAAUUAUUCAAACAUAAAAUUCUGUUCGAGUACCAUAUUAUUUGGUUGGUUGUAUAAGCAAGAAUAAUCAUGACAAAUUUAAUACGAUGCGUAGUUGGCCUUAUAAAGUUCUACAUAAACUUAAUAUGGAUACUAGGAAUCAAAAACAAAAAAUAUAUUAAACCUAUCAAUCACCGCGUAGCAAUUAAUGAAAUAUUAUUAUUCACCUCUAAUAAUUUCGAAAUUAAAAAGUAAAAAGUGUACUUAACAUUUUUCUUGGUUUUUCUAUCUAGGUUUUUCUCAUUGCACGAUUAGCAUGACUGCUAACCUACUCCUUGCCAGAAAUAGGGAGGGCAAUAGGACGACCAUCCAAAAACGCGUAGAUAACACAAGCUGAUGAAAUUAAACUCAUGGAGGAACAAAGGUCACGCAUUUUGCAUGCAGCAACACCAAAAACACUAUCGAUUGGAGGGAUAAUGUUAG